Molecule: transfer RNA, 76 nt
Filed under: Chloroflexota bacterium
Lineage: Bacteria; Bacillati; Chloroflexota
Also listed under: 1 other name
Description: Chloroflexi bacterium tRNA-Arg
Rfam family: tRNA
About the family: Transfer RNA (tRNA) molecules are approximately 80 nucleotides in length. Their secondary structure includes four short double-helical elements and three loops (D, anti-codon, and T loops).
Source: RNAcentral
GUCCCCGUAGCUCAGUGGACAGAGCAACGGUUUUCUAAACCGCAGGUCGCAGGUUCGAAUCCUGCCGGGGACGCCA